Molecule: long non-coding RNA, 2541 nt
Organism: Homo sapiens (human)
Lineage: Eukaryota; Metazoa; Chordata; Mammalia; Primates; Hominidae
Gene: NOP14-AS1
Product: NOP14 antisense RNA 1
Source: Ensembl
GCCGGAGUCAGUGGCGGGGUUCUCGCCGGUCCUGCGGGUCGCUGCUUGGCUGUGGGUUAGCAGCACCCUGAGCGGAGCGGAAGAGCUGCCCGCCGCCGCGUAACCCCGAGGCCGAGACUCCUGGCCUGGCCUCCUUGGGCCCACGACGCCUGCCCCGCGGAGCGGACCCAUGGGCCUGAGGUUUGUGUGCGGGGCCUCAGGCGAGCGCUGGCGCAGCCUGUCCCCCAUCGUCUGCGCCCUGCGGGCCUGGCCCUCCCCGUGGAAGGACCGCGGGCUUCGGGGCCCCACGCUGGGGGGCUGACUCCUGCCACACACACAGCGGUGGCCGCGGGCCUGGGGCGGCAGCACAGCCAUUCUGCUCGGGCUGCGUGAGCUGACCCCGCUCUCUGUGCACCUACUUUUGCUGCGUUUGGUGCUGAGCCUGAAGUCCCAGGACAGGCGGCUGAGGGGGAAAGAUGGUGUGAAUUGGGUGGGCAGAGACAACUGAAAGCCACAGGACCCGGUUGGCACCUUUUUGGCCGCCUGCGCCUUUGCCUGCAGCCCCGCUCCCUGGGUCACCCGAAGGAGGAGCUGGCGCUCUUUCCGGGCGCAGAAGCACCCGACCCACGCUGGAGGAAACGGUCCCUCUGGGCAGGAGAAGCUUUGGGCCUGGCUGGAGCACACUCACGGAACCACGCCAACGCCUGGCCUGUAGCCAGCUCCCACCUCCCCUCCCACCUUCUAAAAUGCUUGCGGAUCUCACGUGGCCGACCCUAACCAGAUACACAUGGGGAAAGGAAUCAGGUGGCACACAUACCGCCUUUACUCCAUAGAGAACUUCCAAUUGUGGGUAAGAACAAAGCCCCACCUCUUCCUAAUAGAUGCAGUUUUCCACCUGCAGCCAAAAAGACAACCUGUUAUUAGCUUUUUUCCCAGAGGACAGGCAUCUCUAUGAAACUGCCAUUGCAAAAUUUGCCGACAGUGAGAUAACCAGCUCCAUUUUGCUUCUAACCUCCAUGCCCUCCUUGUUUACUGCUGCACGCAGGUUGAACUGUGGGAGGAACUUAGUUUAAAACAAAGAUGAUAACAGCCCUUUCCCAAAGGAAACCUUUCCUGGGGAUUAGCCUGCUUUUGUGGGACCAACAGAUUAGCCACAAGAUUAGAAACUACGGUUGAAGAGUCACGCAGCGGGAGGCUACAGGAUUCUGACCCUCCCCAAACUGCUCCUGGCGAUAACAUCACCAUCGUAAAGCCUAAGAUCAGCACUUGGUGGGUCACCUGGCACCACCCAGGCUCAUCUGAUGUUGUGGCACCCAGGAACUGACUCAGUGCGAAAACAGCUUCGACUCCCUGUGAUUUCAUCUCUGACCUGACCAAUGGGUACUUCUGACUCACUGGCUGCCCCCCACCCACCAGCUUAUCUUUAAAAACUCCAAACCCCAGAUGCUCAGGGAGACCGAGUAAUAAUAAAACUCCAGUCUCCCACACAGCUAGCUCUGCGUGAAUUACCUUUUCUCUGUUGCAAAUGCCCUUUCUUGAUAAAUUGGCUGUCUAGGUAACAGGGAAGGUGAACCCACUGGGCAGUUACACUUUUAUCCACCCUUCCAGCUGGAUCACGCGCCCUCUUCAAUGACAUGACACGCAGCUAGAGUGUAUGAGCUUGCUGCCGGCACCUUCCGUCCUGGAUCGCAUAGCAAGGCCUCAAUGGACAGCCAGGUGCCUGGUCCGGUCCCACUUUUUUUUCUGUCCUGUUCUCGUUUCCUCUUUGCUUGGCCAAAGAGGGUUGGGCCAGGGUCCUGAGUGCAAAGGCUUGGCUUGGUGAAUUAAAGUGGCAGUAGCCGUGUGGCAGAGAAAAUUUGUAGAUGGGUGAAAUCCUGGGCCUACACAGUGACAAAGUGUAUAUAGACAGCCAGCCUAGUUGGUGGAUGUGACAACCCCAGACUCUUCUAGAUUUGUGGAUCCGUGCACCUGCCAGACCUGUCUCUGAGCCAUCUGGGGAGGCUGGGUCGGCACAGACGCAACCCAGUCUCCUCCCACCUCCGAGAGUGCAGUGUCCUGAAUGGAGAACCCCAGCACCCAGAAGCAUCCACUGAAGGACUAAAUUCUACACAUGAAGGCAAACGUCCGUGGUUGACAGAAAUUACACUGGCCAGAAUCCCCAGUCCCCAUGAGGCUUGUCCAGACGCAGUGAACCAGUCGCAGCUGAUAACACACAGACCAUUCCCGAUCCCAGAGGUGCAUUUCAGGAUUCAUUCUAUUUCAUCAGAGACGGGGUCUUCCUGUGUUGCCCAGGCUGGUCUCGAACUCCUGGGCUGAAGCAAUCUUCCUGCCUUGGCCUCCCAGAGGGUUGGAAUUGCAGAUGUGAGGUGUGUCCUGGAACCCUGGCUGCACCCACAGAUACAGCCACUCCUGGGCCCAUGUGGAUGUAACCUUCGAGUGCCGGAAUGCCUCGUCUCCAUGGAGACCAAACUCAAGGGCCUGACUGGCCCAGUCUACCGAGACCAUGAGACCUGCUGUGCCCCUCGGCCAGGCCAACCCAAAUUCUUUUAAAUAAAAGGCACA